This 441-nucleotide ribosomal RNA is filed under the name uncultured Hyphomicrobiales bacterium. Its description in RNAcentral is "bacterial SSU rRNA". It matches the Rfam family "Bacterial small subunit ribosomal RNA", at positions 338 to 795 of the family's 1533-position model. Lineage: Bacteria; Pseudomonadati; Pseudomonadota; Alphaproteobacteria; Hyphomicrobiales. The record is from RNAcentral.
CCUACGGGCGGCUGCAGUGGGGAAUAUUGGACAAUGGGCGCAAGCCUGAUCCAGCCAUGCCGCGUGAGUGAUGAAGGCCUUAGGGUUGUAAAGCUCUUUUAGCAGGGACGAUAAUGACGGUACCUGCAGAAAAAGCCCCGGCCAACUUCGUGCCAGCAGCCGCGGUAAUACGAAGGGGGCUAGCGUUGCUCGGAAUCACUGGGCGUAAAGCGCACGUAGGUGGGUCGUUAAGUCGGGGGUGAAAUCCCAGAGCUCAACUCUGGAACUGCCUUCGAUACUGGCGACCUUCGAGUUCGGGAGAGGUGAGUGGAACUGCGAGUGUAGAGGUGAAAUUCGUAGAUAUUCGCAAGAACACCAGUGGCGAAGGCGGCUCACUGGCCCGAUACUGACACUGAGGUGCGAAAGCGUGGGGAGCAAACAGGCUUAGAUACCCGAGUAGUC